Molecule: ribosomal RNA, 455 nt
Filed under: uncultured bacterium
Lineage: Bacteria
Description: bacterial SSU rRNA
Rfam family: Bacterial small subunit ribosomal RNA
Source: RNAcentral
UACGGAAGGCAGCAGUGGGGAAUAUUGCACAAUGGGCGAAAGCCUGAUGCAGCUAUGCCGCGUGUAUGAAGAAGGCCUUAGGGUUGUAAAGUACUUUCAUCGGGGAGGAAAAACAAAACUAAUAAUUUUAUUUCUUGACGUUACCCGAAAAAGAAGCACCGGCUAACUCCGUGCUAGCAGCCGCGGUAAUACGGAGGGUGCUAGCGUUAAUCAGAAUUACUGGGCGUAAAGAGCACGUAGGUGGUUUUUUUAAGUCAGAUGUGAAAUCCCUGGGCUUAACCUAGGAACUGCAUUUUGAAACUGAAAUACUAGAGUAUCGUAGAGGGAGGUAGAAUUCUAGGUGUAGCGGUGAAAUGCGUAGAUAUCUGGAGGAAUACCUGUGGCGAAAGCGGCCUCCUAAACGAAUACUGACACUGAGGUGCGAAAGCGUGGGGAGCAAACGAGGAUUAGAUACC